Molecule: long non-coding RNA, 307 nt
Filed under: Malus domestica (apple)
Lineage: Eukaryota; Viridiplantae; Streptophyta; Magnoliopsida; Rosales; Rosaceae
Description: long non-coding RNA (MDOM_LNC013446)
Source: RNAcentral
GUAAAGGAACAGCGUUACCACUCGCUGUUGGGACAAUUCCUAUAUAUGUCGACCUUCACCCUCUACAACCAGGCAGACCUGCAAAUAAAAAAAAUGCUCAAUUUUUUUUCACAUCUGAGAGGGCACUCAGCUUAUUUUCCCCUCGAUAAUACCUCUGCAAACAAGCCACACCAGAGCAAGAGUAUCUUAUAUCAUCAAGGUUAAAAGCAAGAGUAUCCCAUAUCAUGCUUUUUCCCUAUCUUUUCCUUUAGCCUUGUUCUUACCUACAAGACAAGGAAAAAGAGAGCAAUCAGUCAGCACUUGGAAU